RNAcentral lists this unclassified non-coding RNA (486 nucleotides) under Hevea brasiliensis (rubber tree). The record is from RNAcentral. Lineage: Eukaryota; Viridiplantae; Streptophyta; Magnoliopsida; Malpighiales; Euphorbiaceae.
GUCUCUACUAUUCAUUAACUCGAAGGGAGAAACGGAGAGAUUCAAGUUUAAAAUAAGCCGUCUUGGAACGCAACCUCCUGAAUCUUUUGCAUAAAGCACUUGAGACUUAUAAUCAAUUUCAUGGACGAGAAGUUUCCAUGAAUUUGGUAGCUCCAGCACAGUUUCAUUCUUCUCCGAGCAAGAAAGAUAAAACCCAGGUUGAGAAUAGCCACAGUGGUUUGGUUGCUUGCCUCUGAUUUGGAAGGGAAAUCGAACUGGCGGUCCGAAGCUCGCACAUGAUGAUGUAUUGCAAUCAUUAAAGCCUAAUCCAUGAUCUACGAUGAGUAUAAUGAACCAGAAGUAACAAAGCAAACAAUUAACCAUUUCAAAUGAAAAAUAUUCAGCAAUGCCUUGUCUAACACAUGUCUCGAGCCAUUCAAUUGUUUUGCUUUAUCCUACAGGACAAUACUCACAUUUCAUUGAUCUGUUUUUCUCUCUCAAAUCAGU